Molecule: long non-coding RNA, 1404 nt
Filed under: Mus spicilegus (steppe mouse)
Lineage: Eukaryota; Metazoa; Chordata; Mammalia; Rodentia; Muridae
Description: lncRNA (ENSMSIG00000026071.1)
Source: RNAcentral
GUGAAUUAGUUUCUCGUUCUUACCACAAUCCCACUUGGGAUGCAGUUACUGUGGGUGAUUCACAGAUGAGGAAACCCAUGAUUAAAGCAGUAAGUGCCUAUUCCUAGUUAGAGAAAGGAACUUAACAUGUCUCUUGACCUCAUAAGUCAGUGCUCAGCGGCUACCUAGAGUUAUCUCAUUUAUCCCAGCCCACAGCACUGCUGCCUUCCAACUUGAAGGGCAUGUAGGGCCUUGUUUGCGGGAUCUCCCCACACACCCCCAGCUGGCUUCAUCUGAUUCUGGAAUUUAGCCAUGUGACAGUGUGUCAGGAAUCCCCAUGCUAUAUCGAUGCAUUCUCCAUAUGGAUUUGAACCUGCAAACACCUCUGCACACAGGUCAUGCUUACGCAUCUGUUCAUUUGGUGAGACCAGGUCUCACUAGAUAGCCCAGGCAGGCUUCAAGCUUUCUUUAUAGUUGAGGCUAUCCUCUAAUUCACCUUUCUGCCGCCCCAGGCUCCAGAACUCUCAGGUUACACGCUGGUGCCGCAUUACUUGGCUUCUGUUCAAUUUAUUCACUGUCCAUUCUAGAAUUCCUGCCUCUGGAAUGGCUAUCUCAGAGUCCAUCCUGACUUUCUGGAAAGAUCUUCUAAAGCUCAGAGUUCCGGGAAGUCUCCACAGCUUGCUUCUGCCUUCUGGGCCUUCUCGUGCUUCUCUGGCCCCACAGAUGUGACCAUUCAUAUCCCUCGGCUUUUGCCCCUGGAUACAGCCCUUCACCUCUACACCCUUCCUCAAAUCCACACAGAGAAGGAACAGUAAAUGAUUGGCAAGGGGCAUCUGCAUGGGAGAGAGAGGAGAAGACCAUUCCAAGAAAUGUGAAAGUCUGUGGUGAGCUAGAUCUGGCUGCUUGCAACCUUACCUGCCUGGGUCAGCACUUCACUCUCUGCAGACACCUUGUCUGUUCAGAUCAUCACAGUGAAUGUGUCAAAAUGAGACUCCCCCCAGCCCCCGAAGUACCUUCACAGAGGCUAUGGAAUAAAAAACCAAGGUGCAUACCCUGUGGUUCCAACAGACCUGUAGUCCCUGGAGAGAGGGAAGCAAUCUGGAACUGGAAUGGACAUUUUCUUGACAGCCUCCAAAAGCAGUGGCUCUGCAGGAGGCAUGGACGAGCACUCAACGGAGCUUUUUUUCUUUAACCCUCAGCAAUCGUGAUGGGUAGGUAUUCUGCUUAAAUUUACAAAUGAACAAGAAAACAGAAAUUUAAACAGUCUGAAUAACUGCUAAGAUCACAUGGGUUUGGGGUGGUUCCAAAACAUUUGGUUUUGUUGUCAUUGCUGUUUGUUUGGUUUUGAUAUAAACCAAACAUUUAACAUAAAGGGUAAGCCGAAGUCUAAGUCCUUUAUAGAUAUAAAACCUUUAUUCAUGUCUG